This 1187-nucleotide small RNA is filed under the name Arabidopsis thaliana (thale cress). Its description in RNAcentral is "ATSL289630". The record is from RNAcentral. Lineage: Eukaryota; Viridiplantae; Streptophyta; Magnoliopsida; Brassicales; Brassicaceae.
AUAAAACCAAAUUUUUUCAACUCGUCUUCUUCACCUGAGUUUUUCACAUCACUGGAACUUCUAAUUCCUCAUCGUUUUCCUCAUUUUUCUUCAAUUUCUUACAUCCUUCUCCCGAUAUAGUUGAUCCGGUUCCGGUAAUUGUUGUUUUUAGGAAUUGGGUAUAAAAACACAAAUAUAUAUUUAACACCGAUGAAAGAGGGUGUAGACUUGUGCAGAUAGAUGCGGAAACAACACACGACAAACUUGUGAAGUUGGUGCUCGAUGAAAAAGUUAGAUGAAAUGCUGCAUCUCUUAUUGUUUCGCGACAAAUUUACAUGUCACGGCUGAGUUAUAUGCUUAAGGGAAGACGAAAGGUUCAGUCAAUUUACAUGUCACGACUGAGUUAUAUGUUCCAGAAAAGACGAAAGAUUCGAUAAAAUUACAUUACAACAGAGUUAUAUGCUUAAGGGAGAACGAAAGAUUCAGUCAAUUUACAUGUCACGGCUGAAUUAUAUGUUCCAGGGAAGACGAAAAGUUCGGUAAAAUUACAUUACGGGUGAGUUAUAUGUUCAAGGGCAAACGAAAGAUGAGUGUAUAUUAUAUGUUACGGCUCAGUUAUAUGCUUCAGGGAAGACGAAAUGUUUGAUAAAUUACAUGUCAUGGCUGAGUUAUCAUUCAGGGAAGACGAAAGGUUGUGUAAAUUAUGUUACGGCUGAGUUACAUCAAAUUAUGGUUCAGUUACAUUACGUUACGGCUGAGUUACAUCACUUUACGGCUGAUUUAUAAUAUAGAUUGGAAAACAACAUUUUUCUGGGGAAGACAAUAUAAAAUUUAUUGGCCAAAUAACAACAAUCAAAUUAAGAAACGUAAGAAUAUGUUUGAGGGAUACAUAGGAGGAAGACGAAACCGUAUGAAUCAAAACGUUGAUAGAAGUAGAAAUAUCUCUAAAUAGAUCGAUUGAGAGAAAAAUUAAACGAGAGACAUAUAAAAUCAAAGUAAAAGAGUAGCUAUUCUUGAUUCAACUUAAACCUGCAACGAAUCAUACAAAAUUCCAUACAUCUCUUUGAUUUGGGUUUUGAUUUUUGAUGACUUGAAAUUCGACACCACCGAAGGAGUUUCGGCCGGAAGAAACGAGAUAAGUAGAGAACGGCGACGAAAUUAGGUUCCGUCGACUGAACAAGAGAAGAGAGUGACGUUUUUUUUUUUUU